CCUCGCUUUCGAUCAACGGUUGCUCCACGAUCUUUCGUCGGAUGCAAAACGGUCGGUUCCUGUGUUGCAUACCUAUCGAGAUGGAAAUCGGUCCCCUUCGGUCGUCCCUUUCAUCCUCGCGUCCUCACGGAUGCUCGGUUGGACUCGACGGAAGGGCUCGUUCUCCACGGACGUCUCACGAAGAUCGUGCCGAUGGACCUCGAGCCACUUCUCGUUCUCUCGGAUGCGGAAAAUCGCCCAUGGGCGUGGGUCAUCGGCCCUCGGUCCCAAACGUCGAAGCGUCGGUCGCUUCACACCGGAACGACGCUCUCGCCUUGUCCUUGAUCGAGCGGUGCCCUCUCGGGCUACCACGAGGGAUCAUGCUCGGCGGACGUCGUGAAGGAACGCUACCUGGUUG
Molecule: unclassified non-coding RNA, 397 nt
Filed under: Baeckea frutescens
Lineage: Eukaryota; Viridiplantae; Streptophyta; Magnoliopsida; Myrtales; Myrtaceae
Description: partial external transcribed spacer
Source: RNAcentral